This is a long non-coding RNA of Polyodon spathula (Mississippi paddlefish), 622 nucleotides long. RefSeq lists it as uncharacterized. Lineage: Eukaryota; Metazoa; Chordata; Actinopteri; Acipenseriformes; Polyodontidae. The transcript is spliced from 2 exons. The record is from RefSeq and is a predicted model, not a curated record.
CUUACCAGGGUCGAAGGGCUCUCCCGAUCUGCUUGGAAGGGUUGAAAUGAAGCUGGCAGCAGUCCAUGGUUUCUGGCUCAUCUUUCCCUGGAAGUAUGGCAGGGCAGCAGGGGCUGGGCUGAACCAGCACAACGUGUCCACGCCUGCAAACUUGCAUUUCCCAGCACAAACAAGAGCCCACCUGAGAAGACCUCAGUCAUUCCCAACUGCUGCCACUGAGCUUCCAACUGGAAUAUGAAUGUCAAUUGGGGCAUUCCAGCUAGAGGCUUUAUAAAAGUGAAGCUGCAACAAGAACUGGAGGAAAUGGUUUAGUCUGACCUAAAGCAAUCAAGUUAGCAUCAAUGGAAAAUAAAACAAUGUGGUAUAAAUAUGUCAGUUAUCCGAGAGAACUGCGAUUUGGCAUCCCUCCUCACCAUUUGUGUUGUAACACAACAUUAGAGACGGUAACCUCCAAUAGGUGUACGCUAAGGCACGUUGAUAUCUGAAGCAAUGAAAUCUGUCAAUGAGAACAAACCAUACAUUUUGAUCAAAUGUACCUUCUGUUUAAGAAGCAAAGCCAUAACAUUGAUGUUAAGAAUGUUAACAGAUAAUCGGAGUUUUUUUUUUUUUUUUUUUUUUAAAU